CUCAUUCCUUAGCUUUAUGAAAUCUGACCUUUGGUUUUAGAGCUCAAAAAAAGUCUAAUUCUACAUGUGUGCAUCUCUCAGCAUAGUGGAAUCUCAUCUCGGUUAGCGUCAAAGAAACACAAGGCACGAGUUAAAUGACUUUUCAGUGGACAAAUACAUCUCUGCUCUUUUGCUGCAACAGGUAAAAAACACAGAAAGGGAGAACAGGAACAACCCAUGUGGGCUGGGAGACUUGAAGAACAAUAUUAAGAGAAAGACAAGACGAUGCCCAGGAAAUAAAGCCAAAUAAAUGAUACUGAGCCCAAGAUAUGAAGUAACACCAGGACUCUGAACUCACUUAUUUACAGGAGAUUAACAUCAAAUGUUGCAUUACAUGUUUUUGUUCGCUCUGGGACUCUGAAGUCAGGACUGUAGCAGAAGCUUGAGCAAAAAGAAUGAGAAAACUGGAAAAUAUGGAGAACAGAUGAAAUGGCUCCCUCGGCAGAAACAGAUCACCUCCAUGAGACAGCAUUCAGACAGAAUCAUUUUGUAGAUGAACGUAGGUGAGAGCAAGUAUGAGAAAAUGCUGAAAGCUCCAACAGAAAAAUGGGAAAGAAAACAAAGCAACUUCAAUUGUUUCAUCAAAAAGGUAGGAAAUGAAAGCAAAGUAGGAAAAAAAUUAAAAAAGGAGAAAUAGUUAAAGUGUGUCACUGAAUGAAAAUAAACAGAAUAACUUUUUCAACCUGGCUCUGUCCAGGUCAGGCCACAAAGGGCAACCUCUGAUAACAGUUUCGUCAGCAUUAUAUCAGAUGAGGGAAAAACUCUUCUAGUAUGGAUCAUAUUAAAGAAAAAACAGAGAGAGUAUAAAGGUAUAUUUAGCAUCUCUUUUGUAUAUACUGCAUAGUUUAGCUGCCAGAAAGAAUAUGAGAAUGAAUCCAGCACAACUGGUUACUUAGCAGUCACAGUCUCAGCCCUGAUUUUUAGGGAAGCUUGGGCAGUUACAUGGCUAUAACUCUCUUGCAUGAUACUGGAGCAUAACCUGUCCACCAGCAAAAUGAGAAAGAUCCUCAAUGCCUUCUGUAAAUCUGCCUUUCUAAGGUCAGACAUACAAAGAGGGUAUUUUCUACACUCCUGGCAUCUGAUUUAUCCUACCUCAAAUCAGACUGUUGACCAAGGGUCAGACAGUUUCCCUGGGGACAGAGCACAUGCUAUAUACCAAACACUGGAGAAGCACUCAAAAUCUUUGAAAGCUCUGCAUAGUUCAUAUUCAGCAUUUCAUUGUCCUACUUUCUUUGGGAAAGAAAGCUCAUCAGUGUUUUAAAGAACACUGACACUAUGUAGCCUUGGGUUAUGUCUUGCACACCAUAAGUCACUUCAAUAGAUUUAGAACACAGUAAUACAGAGGAGACUGACCAGUGUCUAAAAUCAAGCUGUCAUAUCUCCAUGAACGUUGGCCUGUUUACCCAAAAAUGAUGAAACAUUCUACAUUAACAGGUUAGACACUGGGAGGCUCACUGCAAGGCUAAACAGAACAUAUCUCAGGACUGAAUCUGGUCCUGCACAUAUUUUUACUUUAAAAUGGGAAGCAUCCUUUCUGAG
Molecule: long non-coding RNA, 1578 nt
Organism: Falco peregrinus (peregrine falcon)
Lineage: Eukaryota; Metazoa; Chordata; Aves; Falconiformes; Falconidae
Exons: 3
Source: RefSeq, a predicted model, not a curated record